UACGAAGGGGGCUAGCGUUGUUCGGAAUUACUGGGCGUAAAGGGCGCGCAGGCGGUCAACCAAGUCAGAUGUGAAAGCCCCGGGCUCAACCUGGGAACUGCAUCUGUGACUGCAUCGCUGGAGUGCGGCAGAGGGGGAUGGAAUUCCGCGUGUAGCAGUGAAAUGCGUAGAUAUGCGGAGGAACACCGAUGGCGAAGGCAAUCCCCUGGGCCUGCACUGACGCUCAUGCACGAAAGCGUGGGGAGCAAACAGG
RNAcentral lists this ribosomal RNA (253 nucleotides) under uncultured bacterium. RNAcentral describes it as "partial 16S ribosomal RNA". It matches the Rfam family "Bacterial small subunit ribosomal RNA", at positions 524 to 776 of the family's 1533-position model. The record is from RNAcentral.